UACGAAGGGGGCUAGCGUUGCUCGGAAUCACUGGGCGUAAAGGGCGCGUAGGCGGAUCUUUAAGUCGGGGGUGAAAACUCAGGGCUUAACCCUGAGCCUGCUUCCGAUACGGGCAGACUAGAGGUAUGCAGGGGAGAACGGAAUUCCUGGUGUAGCGGUGAAAUGCGCAGAUAUCAGGAGGAACACCGGUGGCGAAGGCGGUUCUCUGGGACGGUACUGACGCUGAGACGCGAAAGCGUGGGGAGCGAACAGG
RNAcentral lists this ribosomal RNA (253 nucleotides) under uncultured bacterium. RNAcentral describes it as "partial 16S ribosomal RNA". It matches the Rfam family "Bacterial small subunit ribosomal RNA", at positions 524 to 776 of the family's 1533-position model. The record is from RNAcentral.